GUCGUUGGAGAAGGGGUCGAAGGGCGGCUGUGUUGGCUGUCGUGGUGACCGCCACGUCGUAAGGCGCCCUUUAAGCGGUCCUUGAGAAAGUGACACGUCUGCUUAUGGAUCUGGUGCAGAGGUCCCUCCCGGCUUUGUUCCCGAAAGCGGUCAGGCGUGCCCAUGAGGUGACGCGGCAGCAGCCCGGCGGGGAAGCCCUUGAAGGGGCUGCUCGUUGUGUUUCGCUGCCCGUAAAUGCGGGUAAGCAGCGCCGUCCAUUUUGGGCCGUCAGAGCUGAGUGACUAGAGUUACUGUUUGUGCUGUAAAAUCUAGCAGUGGCGGCGUGUACAUCUUGUGUAUCUGAGUGAUGCAACACGCGAGCAAGAAGGAGAUUACAUGGUGAAAGACUAAAAGCUUUCUUAUUUUCAAGGAGAGACUCGGUCAUUUUUGUAGGACUACGCCUACCUGUAGCACCCGGAACGUCUUCGCGUUCCCAGACGAAGCGGCAUCAGUUUCUGGAGAGCUGCCACAGGUAGCUGGGCGAUGCCCGCCGCUCCGCCUGGCGCUGCGCUGUGAGGCAGCAGCGCUUUGCACCCGCUAGACUUUGUCACGGCAGUGCGUGCAGUAGAAGCAUUCCUCCUGCUAACAGCUGUGAGAGCGAGACACCAUUUCGUAACUCGGUUACAAAAGCUGGAGAGCUCAAAUAUUUUCACACAGAGAGGUAAACAGUGCAAGAACCCGGCAGAAAAUAACACUUAGCGAUGCUUAGCGUUUUCAUAAAGCUCUGCGUUUUCAACACCUGUAAUGGCCAGGUGUUUAAUCUUCUGCCUUUUGAGCCUGUUUGUAAUGACAGCCUUUGUGAGCAAACAGGGUGAAGUUCUCGCCAGCUAAGGACCCGCAAUUGAAAUUCAUGGGUUGCUCUGAAAGUGACUCCUAUUUCCAUGGAAACUCCAACAGAUCCAAAGAGCAUAAUAACACUAUUUGAUAGGGCACGUUCUCAGCUACAAAACAGUAUUUUUCAGGAGUCGCUACCAUUAGCUAUGUGUUUUUUGCCAGUAAUGAACAAAAGUCUGCGUGCCACACACAUAGCUAUCUGUACCAGUGGAGGUGACCCACUGUGAGCACUGCUGAAGCGCACCAGCCAAAGCCUCCCUGCACUCACAUCCACUGUUUGGUCUUCAUAAACAUUCAGCCAGCAUCAAUGAAUGUGCAAUUUCUUUUCUGCGUGGAGGAGUUCAACUACAGACCUUCGGUUACAUCAUGGGCCAACAUAAUAAAGUGCUCUGAGUAUGGAAGAGCCAUUUUGGAGACUGAAUAAGGCCAUUGCUACACAUAGCAAACAAAUGCAUUUCCAAUGCAGUGACAUCACUGUGGAGCUGCAAGAGAGAAACAUUGAAUUCUGAGACUUACUGCAGGUGCUACAGGAACAAGGAAUAAGAAACUUUAUGUCAAGUUUAUGGAAACAGAUGGAGCUGAAAGUUUAUAGCAAACCUGACAGAAGUGAGUGGUCGUGCAGGAUAAACUGAAGAAAUAAUUGUUCCUGGCAAACUCAAGAAGAUGGCUGUUCACUGCAAGCACAUUUCUAAGAUCAUUGCCUAUGAAAAAUCAGAAGUUCUGUUUCCACUAUUAGAGACAUAAGUAAUUUUAAGAAGCCCAUUUGGAGACAUCACCAUAGAUAUGUAAAAAUGAUUUGCAAACUAUAGUGGAACUGCUAAGUCACGGCCUAAAGCAGUGAUUGAGUACCUGGUGGGAAGGCAGGGCCAACCCAGGGCAGCUCAGGUGCAUGCAAUGUACCUGAGUGAGCAGAAGGCCUGGAGCCAGGAUGCACCCCUUGCCAGACCUCAUUUAAGAAACAAAUGGAAGAAAUGUUAACAAAACCAAUAUGGGUUGUAUUAAUCAGUGGCAAAGGAAGAGCACUGAAUCCUUUCUGUACUGGGGGCCCUGUGCUUGGAUGCACUACUCCAGAGGAGACCUCCGGAAGGCAGAGUAGAAGGGGGCAAUCUGUUUCCUCUCCCUGCUGGCCACCCCUCUUUUGAUGCAUCCCGGAUACUGUUGGCCUUGCAAGAUACAAGUGCGCACCGCUGGCUCAUGUCCAGCUUUUCAUCCAUCAGGACCUCUAAGUCUUUUGCUGCAGGGCUGCUCUCAGUAAGUAAGUAUGCUGUUGUACUCUCCUCUUGCCUGACAAUGCAUAGUGUUAUCUAUUCUACUUCAGUUCCUGCUUCCUUCAGUCUGAGGAGAAGGACAUAUGGAAUUGGAUUUUUUUUUGUCUUCUACCUAGAAAGAUUUGUGUAUAAGCCUUACAUAUGUUUGUGUAUAGAACAAGAAGUUAUGUGAAAUUCAGUGAUUUAUGCAGGAAAGUAGGAAGUAAAAUCUGAAUAAUUUCAGCCUAUGUUUUUCUGUUCAGAAUUCUUGUUGACUUUAGAGGAAUGUGAGAUUAGUCUAUUUUCAGAAUAGAAUACAAUUCUCCACAUUAAGUAUCUGCCGGAAUGAUUGGAUAUUGGACUUUUGCAUCAUACUAGAUGUUGUCAUUUUACUAUGAUAUUGGUUUCUAGUCUUGUGUUUUGCGACAGGGAUAUUGGUUAUGAUUAUAUGUGACAUAUUUUAAAGGACAUGUUUAAUAACUAUGCUCAGAAUAGCAGUAUCUGAAGAUUGCUGCCAUGUAUGGCACCCUUGUUGUGAGUCUGAAUAAAACUAAUUUUUUAUUUCACAGACACAAAGUAUUCUCAGCAUUGUAAAAAAAAAAUAAAAAAAAUAAAAAACUGCUUGCAAGCCAAGAACAUAACCUAGUCAAGAAGUACAAUAAAGGAUAUUAAAUAACCUUUCAGAUAUUUCUCCUUACCUCUCAGUUAAAAGGGAAGUAAUUUUCAAGACAGUAGGGUUUUACAGAGGAAGAAAUAUACACUAGUGAGGCUUCAAAAAGUGAUGAAACUGCUUAAAAGGACCAGAAGGUGGCAGUACUCCAUGCGUCGCUGAAUUCCUAGCGCCCUCUGAGCUAUCCAGUGUUCAUUCUGAAGUGCUUGACAUCUACUUAUCUUCAGAUGUAUCCAAGGGAACUGUGCCCUUAAAAUAAUAACUUCCCUUUCUGGCUACGUUUGCUUUUCAUGUAUUUCGUGGAAGUGCACAAUAUGUAAAAUAAAGUAUUUCAAGAGGUCUGAAAAAUGUGCUUGACCAAUUCCCUUUCUACUCACAGGCAUUCCUGCAGACUGCUGACUCUGUCUCUUGCUAUGGUCUCAUGUGGCUUGUUGAUAAAUCACAGAAGUCUGCCAGUUAUACGUGUAGCUUAAUUCAUGUCAGGUGAUCUGAAGUAAAAUUUAUCAAGGCUGAGAUUUACUUGAUCCUUUUACUUAAGAAAAAUCUUGGAUACUGGUAAUGUAAAAUAGUUCUGUAUUUAGAGAAGUAUCUCCAAGACACAAUUUGAACAGGCUUCUUUAUACUUUGAGCAGUCAUUUUCAACAGAAGUAAAACUGUGGGUGUUAAGAUGGAAGUAGCUGUGUUUUAUCCCCCCUGACAACUAUCCUCCUGUUUGUCCAUCAGACCAAAUCCAGCUAAUAAUGGAUCCCUUUUUCCAAUUUCAAAAACAACUGAAGGGUCCUUGCUGUAAACAGGGGAUGGUUAUGGUGUAUGGUGAUGUAUGGUAUUCUGUAAUUCUAAAUGAACACGAUACGUUUAUUAGUGACUGUUGUUGCAGUAAUAGGGUUGUAUGUGUGGUACUGUAUUUUGCACAGUGCUGCUCUGACCAUAACUGUGCCUCUGACCAUGUUACAUUCGCUUUUCUCUGUUCCUUCUUCCUUUGGCCUUCUCACAGUGUUGGGAUUGUUAUCCUUGCGGUUGUCUUGCUUUUAUGUUUUCUUUCCUUUCCUUAUUGCCAACAGUGUUGCUGUUUUUUCCUAGUAAAGGACCAGAAGAGAAGUGAGCCACCAUGCAUUCAGUGCAAGUGGAGGUCUGUGUGUUCAA
Long non-coding RNA from Centrocercus urophasianus (Greater sage-grouse), 3933 nucleotides. RefSeq lists it as uncharacterized. NCBI's taxonomy places the organism in Eukaryota, Metazoa, Chordata, Aves, Galliformes, Phasianidae. The transcript is spliced from 7 exons. The record is from RefSeq and is a predicted model, not a curated record.